AGACCCGAAACCCGGUGAUCUAGCCAUGGGCAGGUUGAAGGUUGGGUAACACUAACUGGAGGACCGAACCGACUAAUGUUGAAAAAUUAGCGGAUGACCUGUGGCUGGGGGUGAAAGGCCAAUCAAACCGGGAGAUAGCUGGUUCUCCCCGAAAGCUAUUUAGGUAGCGCCUCGUGAAUUCAUCUCCGGGGGUAGAGCACUGUUUCGGCUAGGGGGCCAUCCCGGCUUACCAACCCGAUGCAAACUGCGAAUACCGGAGAAUGUUAUCACGGGAGACACACGGCGGGUGCUAACGUCCGUCGUGAAGAGGGAAACAACCCAGACCGCCAGCUAAGGUCCCAAAGUCAUGGUUAAGUGGGAAACGAUGUGGGAAGGCCCAGACAGCCAGGAUGUUGGCUUAGAAGCAGCCAUCAUUUAAAGAAAGCGUAAUAGCUCACUGGUCGAGUCGGCCUGCGCGGAAGAUGUAACGGGGCUAAACCAUGCACCGAAGCUGCGGCAGCGACACUCAGGUGUUGUUGGGUAGGGGAGCGUUCUGUAAGCCUGUGA
Molecule: ribosomal RNA, 546 nt
Filed under: Salmonella enterica
Lineage: Bacteria; Pseudomonadati; Pseudomonadota; Gammaproteobacteria; Enterobacterales; Enterobacteriaceae
Also listed under: 1 other name
Description: partial 23S ribosomal RNA
Rfam family: Bacterial large subunit ribosomal RNA
Source: RNAcentral